UUUUUCUUUUUCAUUCACAUCACAUAUACAUGUUUGGAAAUGUUAUAACGGAUGUGAAAGUUGAGUACUUUCUCUAAUGUGUCUACAAGCGACUUUGAACGAUGUUUCCAAUAAAAACAAAAAAAAAAGCUUUGAGCUUCAAUACAUUAGAUCACAAGUUAGGAAAAUCAGGUGUACGGUAUCUUCAUCCUCGUGCAGCAAUUGAUCCCUGUUUUAGUCUAAAC
RNAcentral lists this long non-coding RNA (224 nucleotides) under Lathyrus oleraceus (garden pea). RNAcentral describes it as "Pisum sativum (pea) long non-coding RNA (PSAT_LNC001674)". Lineage: Eukaryota; Viridiplantae; Streptophyta; Magnoliopsida; Fabales; Fabaceae. The record is from RNAcentral.